ACUUUUUUUUUCUUUUAAGGCAUAAAUGUACUAAACUUAUCUGACCUAUUCAUCACUCAAAGUCGGUUACCUAAUUUUUCAAAAUUUUUUACUUUGCGGUUCAACCAUUUAAUUUGUUUGAUUUGAAUCAGUCAAUGAUAGUUUGAUUUUAAAGUUUAUAGGCUAAUUACUUAUUUUACUGAAUUUACAGUGGUGAGAAUUGUACGAAACAUAAUAACUUCAAAUUUGAAGUUACAGUGUCGUUGACCGACUCAAAUCAAACAAAUUAAAAAGUUGGAUAGUAAAAUCAAAAUUUUAAGAAAAAUGGAUAGCUAAAUCAGAAUGAUCUGUAGUUCAAAUAAAUUUUGUAUGUUCUUACCUUAGUUUUAAGCUCUUUGUUUUUUAAAAGCUUUCGCACAUUCCAAUUUA
This 408-nucleotide long non-coding RNA is filed under the name Ananas comosus (pineapple). RNAcentral describes it as "long non-coding RNA (ACOM_LNC028422)". The record is from RNAcentral. Lineage: Eukaryota; Viridiplantae; Streptophyta; Magnoliopsida; Poales; Bromeliaceae.